This 343-nucleotide ribosomal RNA is filed under the name uncultured bacterium. Its description in RNAcentral is "bacterial SSU rRNA". It matches the Rfam family "Bacterial small subunit ribosomal RNA", at positions 335 to 663 of the family's 1533-position model. The record is from RNAcentral.
ACUCCUACGGGAGGCAGCAGUGGGAAUAUUGCACAAUGGGAAGCCAUCGAUGCAGCCAUGCCGCGCUGUGUGAAGAAGGCCAAUUCGGGCUUGGUUAAAGAUACUUUUCAGCAGUGAGGAAGGUGGAGUCGUUAAUAGCGGCCUCAUUUGACGUUAGCUGCAGAAGAAGCACCGGCUAACUCCGUGCCAGCAGCCGCGGUAAUACGGAGGGUGCGAGCGUUAAUCGGAAUUACUGGGCGUAAAGCGCAUGCAGGUGGUUUGUUAAGUCAGAUGUGAAAGCCCGGGGCUCAAGCCUCGGAAUUGCAUUUGAAACUGGCAGACUAGAGUACUGUAGAGGGGGUGA